This is a long non-coding RNA of Maniola jurtina (meadow brown), 398 nucleotides long. RefSeq lists it as uncharacterized. The transcript is spliced from 2 exons. The record is from RefSeq and is a predicted model, not a curated record. Lineage: Eukaryota; Metazoa; Arthropoda; Insecta; Lepidoptera; Nymphalidae.
CUCACAGUUAUAAGCCCACAGCGCUCACCACUGUGCCAGGGAGGUCGUCAAUAUCAGAUAUCGAGGGAAAGGUGUCUGCCUGAGCCGUUGGCGUCGAGUAGUUACGAGUGGACAUACUCGUAGGAAUGGACAUACAUACAUACAUACAUACAGGUCAAACACUAACCCUCCUUUUGGGCUUGGUCACAAUCGGGUAAAAAAAAAUUCAAAGUAAAACCUUUGUAUGGGGAUUGCGUAAGAAGAAUAUAUUAUGGGUACCUAUAUCUUAGUUCGCUUUUAGUAUUGCCAGGUACCACAUACUAAAUUUUGUUUGCGACAGAUCGAGAUGGCAAUUUUCUAGUGAGGUGACAUCACAUACCGGGUAAUCGAUAACGAUAUUUUUUUGGUACGCAACAAAA